CGCAGCCGCGGUAAUUCCAGCUCCAAUAGCGUAUAUUAAAGUUGUUGCAGUUAAAAAGCUCGUAGUUGAAUUUCGGGAUCAACAUGUCGGUCGUGCCUUCGGUACGUACUGGUAUCAUUGGUCUCUCCUUUCUGACGAACCAUGAUGUCAUUAAUUUGGUGUUAUGGGGAGUUAGGACUGUUACUUUGAAAAAAUUAGAGUGUUUAAAGCAGGCUUUAGCUUGAAUACAUUAGCAUGGAAUAAUGAAAUAGGACGUUCGAACCUAUUUUGUUGGUUUCUAGGAUCAACGUAAUGAUUAAUAGGGAUAGUUGGGGGCAUUAGUAUUCAAUUGUCAGAGUGAGAUUCUUGGAUUUAUUGAAGACUAACUACUGCGAAAGCAUUUGCCAAGGAUGUUUUCAUUAAUCAAGAACGAAAGUUAGGGAUCGAAGACGAUCAGAUACCGUCGUAGUCUUAACCNUAAACUAUGACCGACUAGGGAUCGGAUGAUGUUUAAUUUUUAUGUACUUCAUUCGGCGCCGUA
RNAcentral lists this ribosomal RNA (520 nucleotides) under uncultured Glomus. RNAcentral describes it as "SSU rRNA". It matches the Rfam family "Eukaryotic small subunit ribosomal RNA", at positions 569 to 1090 of the family's 1831-position model. Lineage: Eukaryota; Fungi; Glomeromycota; Glomeromycetes; Glomerales; Glomeraceae. The record is from RNAcentral.